This 427-nucleotide ribosomal RNA is filed under the name uncultured bacterium. Its description in RNAcentral is "bacterial SSU rRNA". It matches the Rfam family "Bacterial small subunit ribosomal RNA", at positions 355 to 774 of the family's 1533-position model. The record is from RNAcentral.
UAGGGAAUAUUGGACAAUGGGCGCAAGCCUGAUCCAGCCAUGCCGCGUGAGUGAAGAAGGCCCUCGGGUUGUAAAGCUCUUUUGUCCGGAAAGAAAAGCAUCGGGUUAAUACCCCGGUGUUCUGACGGUACCGGAAGAAUAAGCACCGGCUAACUUCGUGCCAGCAGCCGCGGUAAUACGAAGGGUGCAAGCGUUACUCGGAAUUACUGGGCGUAAAGCGUGCGUAGGUGGUUCGUUAAGUCUGAUGUGAAAGCCCUGGGCUCAACCUGGGAAUGGCAUUGGAAACUGGCGGACUGGAGUGCGGUAGAGGGUAGCGGAAUUCCCGGUGUAGCGGUGGAAUGCGCAGAUAUCAGGAGGAACACCGAUGGCGAAGGCAGAUCUCUGGGCCGUAACUGACGCUGAGGAGCGAAAGCAUGGGGAGCGAACA